CCCUUAGAUGUCCUGGGCCGCACGCGCGCUACACUGAGUGUCUGAGAUACGAGUCUGCCUGGUCCGGCAAGGUCUAGGUAAUCGCUAAAAGACACAUCAUGCUUGGGAUAGAUUAUUGCAAAUAUUAACCUUGAACGAGGAAUUCCUAGUAAGCGCAAGUCAACAGCUUGCGUUGAUUACGUCCCUGCCCUUUGUACACACCGCCCGUCGCUACUACUGAUUGGAUGUUUAAGCGAGGUUCUCGAACUGCUAGCGACUUAGCUUCGGUGAGGUCGCAGGGUGGGAAGUGAACCUAGCUUUGGUGUCUAGAGGAAGUAAAAGUCGUAACA
Molecule: ribosomal RNA, 329 nt
Filed under: uncultured eukaryote
Lineage: Eukaryota
Description: partial 18S ribosomal RNA
Rfam family: Eukaryotic small subunit ribosomal RNA
Source: RNAcentral